RNAcentral lists this ribosomal RNA (253 nucleotides) under uncultured bacterium. RNAcentral describes it as "partial 16S ribosomal RNA". It matches the Rfam family "Bacterial small subunit ribosomal RNA", at positions 1247 to 1500 of the family's 1533-position model. The record is from RNAcentral.
AUGCGACGCCGCGAGGCCGAGNGAACCCCANAAACGGCGCCCAGUUCGGACUGCAGCCUGCAACCCGGCUGCACGAAGCCGGAAUCGCUAGUAAUCGCGGAUCAGAACGCCGCGGUGAAUACGUUCCCGGGUCUUGUACACACCGCCCGUCACACCAUGGGAGUCGGGAACGCCCGAAGUCAGCGGCCCAACCGCGAGGGGGGAGCUGCCGAAGGCGGGCCCGGUGACUGGGGUGAAGUCGUAACAAGGUAUC